This 163-nucleotide ribosomal RNA is filed under the name Elixiaceae sp. Its description in RNAcentral is "partial large subunit ribosomal RNA". It matches the Rfam family "Eukaryotic large subunit ribosomal RNA", at positions 99 to 261 of the family's 3401-position model. Lineage: Eukaryota; Fungi; Ascomycota; Lecanoromycetes; Umbilicariales; Elixiaceae. The record is from RNAcentral.
CGGCAACAGCUCAAAUUUGAAAUCUGGCUCUUUCAGGGUCCGAGUUGUAAUUUGUAGAAGAUGCUUCGGGUGUAGCACCGGUCUAAGUUCCUUGGAACAGGACGUCAUAGAGGGUGAGAGCCCCGUACAGUUGGACACUAAGCCCAUGUGAAGCUCCUUCGAC